This 253-nucleotide ribosomal RNA is filed under the name uncultured bacterium. RNAcentral's name for it is "partial 16S ribosomal RNA". It matches the Rfam family "Bacterial small subunit ribosomal RNA", at positions 524 to 776 of the family's 1533-position model. The record is from RNAcentral.
UACGAAGGGGGCUAGCGUUGCUCGGAAUCACUGGGCGUAAAGGGUGCGUAGGCGGGUCUUUAAGUCAGGGGGGAAAUCCUGGAGCUCAACUCCAGAACUGCCUUUGAUACUGAAGAUCUUGAGUUCGGGAGAGGUGAGUGGAACUGCGAGUGUAGAGGUGAAAUUCGUAGAUAUUCGCAAGAACACCAGUGGCGAAGGCGGCCUUCUGGACCAAUACUGACGCUCAUGCACGAAAGCGUGGGGAGCAAACAGG